Onychostruthus taczanowskii (white-rumped snowfinch) is the source of this 275-nucleotide long non-coding RNA. RefSeq lists it as uncharacterized. NCBI's taxonomy places the organism in Eukaryota, Metazoa, Chordata, Aves, Passeriformes, Passeridae. The record is from RefSeq and is a predicted model, not a curated record. The transcript is spliced from 3 exons.
CUUUUUUUAGAUUUAACUUUUUGAGCAGGCUUUGUCUGCGGGUGAAGCCUUGGAAACAGGACCUCUGAUGGGAUGCCUCGCUCCUGCCAGCUGGCUGCACAGCUCUGGUGGAUGAAAACUCCUGGUACCAAAUCUCGUAUUAAUGAAGGAAAUCAAACCCUGGUGGAAGUCCUUGGGGCAAAUGAAGAAGGACGGCACACAGAGCUGCUGGAAGAGUUUGUAUUCCACAAGAAUAGAACUCCAUGGGGCAAACUGAACCUCUCAUCAAAUACCAG